This 301-nucleotide ribosomal RNA is filed under the name uncultured bacterium. RNAcentral describes it as "partial 16S ribosomal RNA". It matches the Rfam family "Bacterial small subunit ribosomal RNA", at positions 509 to 809 of the family's 1533-position model. The record is from RNAcentral.
CAGUCGCCGCGGGAACACGUAGGUGGCAAGCGUUGUCCGGAAUUAUUGGGCGUAAAGCGCGCGCAGGCGGAUCAGUUAGUCUGUCUUAAAAGUUCGGGGCUUAACCCCGUGAGGGGAUGGAAACUGCUGAUCUAGAGUAUCGGAGAGGAAAGUGGAAUUCCUAGUGUAGCGGUGAAAUGCGUAGAUAUUAGGAAGAACACCAGUGGCGAAGGCGACUUUCUGGACGAAAACUGACGCUGAGGCGCAAAAGCCAGGGGAGCGAACGGGAUUAGAUACCCCGGUAGUCCCUGUCUCUUAUACA